RNAcentral lists this small nucleolar RNA (107 nucleotides) under Olea europaea subsp. europaea. RNAcentral's name for it is "Plant small nucleolar RNA R71". It matches the Rfam family "Plant small nucleolar RNA R71". Rfam says of the family: R71 is a member of the C/D box family of snoRNAs containing the C (UGAUGA) and D (CUGA) box motifs. Multiple nearly identical copies of this snoRNA have been identified in Arabidopsis, and it is thought to function as a 2'-O-ribose methylation guide for 18S ribosomal RNA. The record is from Rfam by way of RNAcentral. Lineage: Eukaryota; Viridiplantae; Streptophyta; Magnoliopsida; Lamiales; Oleaceae.
AUAUCAAGAUUUGGAGACUUUUUAAAUAAGUCCUUGAACUUCUCCCAUGCCUUUGGAUAGCUCUCGAGGUCCUUCUACUUGAAAACAUGGACUUCAUUCAUAAAUUU